GUGACUCAUAGUAACUUAAUCGGAUCGCAUGGGCUUGUCCCGCGACAAACCAUUCAAGUUUCUGCCCCAUCAUGCUUUCGAUGGUAGUGUAUUGGACUACCAUGGCUUUCACGGGUAACGGAGGAUUAGGGUUCGAUUCCGGAGAGGGAGCCUGAGAAACGGCUACCACUUCCACGGAAGGCAGCAGGCGCGUAAAUUACCCAAUCCUGACUCAGGGAGGUAGUGACAAGAAAUAAUGGGUCGGGGUUCUGCCCCGGGACCGCAAUGAGACGAAUUUAGACCCCUUAUCGAGGACCAAUUGGAGGGCAAGUCUGGUGCCAGCAGCCGCGGUAAUUCCAGCUCCAAUAGCGUAUAUUAAAGUUGUUGCAGUUAAAAAGCUCGUAGUUGGAUUUCUGGUAGUGGGCAAGAGCUCGUUGCACGUUGCUCGCGUUCAUUGCCAUCCUUCUGUUAACCUAUCAGGGCAUUCUAUUGUCAGUUAGGGGCUCAGAUAUUUUACCUUGAGAAAAUUAGAGUGUUUCAGGCAGGCUUGUGCCCGGAUACAUUAGCAUGGAAUAAUGGAAUAGGACUUUAGCCUCUUCUGUUGGUCUGAGGGGUUGAAGUAAUGAUUAAUAGGGAUAGUUGGGGGCAUUAGUACUUAACUGUCAGAGGUGAAAUUCUCGGAUUUGUUAAAGACUAACUUAUGCGAAAGCAUUUGCCAAGGAUGUUUUCAUUAAUCAAGAACGAAAGUUAGGGGAUCAAAGACGAUCAGAUACCGUCCUAGUCUUAACCAUAAACUAUGCCGACUCGGGAUCGGGGGCCAGAGUUAACUGCCUUCGGCACCGUAUGAGAAAUCAAAGCCUUUGGGUUCUGGGGGGAGUAUGGUCGCAAGGCUGAAACUUAAAGGAAUUGACGGAAGGGCACCACCAGGCGUGGAGCUUGCGGCUCAAUUUGACUCAACACGGGGAGACUUACCAGGUCCAGACAUAGUGAGGAUUGACAGAUUGAUAGCUCUUUCUUGAUUCUGUGGGUGGUGGUGCAUGGCCGUUCUUAGUUGGUGGAGUGAUUUGUCUGGUUAAUUCCGUUAACGAACGAGACCUUAGCCUACUAAAUAGUCGCAACAAUUACGAUUGGCUGCGUCUUCUUAGAGGGACUUUGCAAGCAACUGCAAGGAAGUUUGAGGCAAUAACAGGUCUGUGAUGCCCUUAGAUGUCCUGGGCCGCACGCGUGCUACACUGACGCAUACAGCGAGUAUCACCAGCUCCGUGAGGCUGCUGGUAAUCAGCAAUAUGCGUCGUGCUGGGGAUAGAUCUUUGGAAUUUUUGAUCUUGAACGAGGAAUGCCUAGUAAGCGCAGGUCAUCAGCCUGCGUUGAUUAAGUCCCUGCCCUUUGUACACACCGCCCGUCGCUCCUACCGAUUUCGAGUGGUCCGGUGAACCCUUUGGACCGAGAGCGCCUCGUGAGCUUUUGGAAAGUCGAGUAAA
RNAcentral lists this ribosomal RNA (1460 nucleotides) under uncultured Tintinnida. RNAcentral's name for it is "partial 18S ribosomal RNA". It matches the Rfam family "Eukaryotic small subunit ribosomal RNA", at positions 246 to 1763 of the family's 1831-position model. Lineage: Eukaryota; Ciliophora; Spirotrichea; Tintinnida. The record is from RNAcentral.